CCAUCUUGAGUUGAUUCAGGUUAACGCUAUGCAGAGAAUCUCCUUCCUCCAUUUUGAGUUGAUUCAGGUUAACGCUAUGCAGAGAAUCUCCUUCCUCCAUUUUGAGUUGAUUCAGGUUAACACUAUGCAGAGAAUCUCCUUCCUCCAUUUUAAGUUGAUGUAGUUAACCUGGGCAGAGAAACUUGUUCUGUUAAACUAACGGCCUUCAUAUCAGUAAAUGUUUCAAACUUCCAGGGUCUUAUAGCUCUAGGCUGGUGCCAUGUGGGUGAUUGUGAUGGCUUGUCUUCUCCUUAUAAGACAGCUAUAGGCUGGUGCCAUGUGGGUAACUGUGAUGGCUUGUCUUCUCCUUAUAAGACAGCUCUAGGCUGGUGCCAUGUGGGUAACUGUGAUGGCUU
This is a long non-coding RNA of Oncorhynchus tshawytscha (Chinook salmon), 395 nucleotides long. Lineage: Eukaryota; Metazoa; Chordata; Actinopteri; Salmoniformes; Salmonidae. The record is from Ensembl.